Molecule: long non-coding RNA, 1686 nt
Organism: Papaver somniferum (opium poppy)
Lineage: Eukaryota; Viridiplantae; Streptophyta; Magnoliopsida; Ranunculales; Papaveraceae
Exons: 9
Source: RefSeq, a predicted model, not a curated record
UUCAAUACCCAACCAUUCUCUACUGUUGGUCUUCCUUCCGUUACGCCAAAAAAUAAUUCCCAUAUUGAAUGUAUUAAUACCGUCACUCAGGUUUCACCAGUUUUAAAAACUCAUACAGCAUUACCUGAUUGCAACUCUUGAGAUCUCUCCGAUCAGUAAUCCAUAUCAUAGGUUUGAUUCGUUUGUAUUUUCUUCAAAAGGCGCUUCCUUUUUUCCUUCUCGGUAACUUGAAGAUUCCAAAAGUAUGAUUUCGUUGAUUUCCACAUUCAGCUUCACGAGUUACAGAAUGAGAGUAUUGAACUGUUGAGGCAUGCCCUCUACUCAGUUGUUCUUAUUGAAUUCACACAUCCCCCGGAUCUGCAAAAAUAAUUUGAAGAGUUCAAGAUACAAUAUAGGGAUCUAAGUCUUCAUGUUUGAUGGAAAUCGCAUGUGAAGGGAAACUAAUACAUUAGAUGCCCAUAAGAUGCUUAAGAAAGAUGAAUCUGUUCUGGCAUUUGAUGGCGUGACUAUAGCGAACUAUGGAACGGAGAGAUAUUUUGUAUGCUUUAACUUUUACAUAUUAUGAAGUCUCAAUUUGCUAGUGGGUCGGAAGGCACAGUUUGAGCUCAAGGCUAUGAGAUGGGAUGUUUCGCCUGGAAUGAAACAUUGGAAUGUCUCCCGCGCCUUCAAUCAGUGUUAAGCCUCUCAAUUCCUCCACCUUGAAAAUGCCUAGCCACAAGUUCUUUUUGACUGCUUUUGAAGAACUGGAGUUCUGAGACCACAUAUAUCUCACUGAUGUUGUAGGUGUUCUAACCACCCUAAUGAGUGUACAAGAAAUUAAGAGAGCAAAUGGACGACAAUCCUAUCACCGGCGACCUCAGUAUCCAAAACCUCAGGGAAGUUAUCUUUGUUAUCAGAAAAUUCCACCAAAAUCUACUCCAACAUGGACCUUCCAGAAGUUUUGGAUAUGCGACAGAGGAAUAAAAUAAAAAUUUGUGUGGCGCAACAGCCUAUUUUGGUCAGUGGUGGCUGGUACUACUGGGAAUGCAACAACUGCGCAGCGGAAGUGGUUGGAUGACCAUUGGUGUACCAAUUGUAAAACAAAGGUUGAAGAAUCCAUUCCCAGGUUCAUGUUACGGAGCUUUGCAAGAUACAAGCAGUUUUAGAAAAUAAUUAUAAAAAAAUAAUCAUAAUUGGAGGGAAAAGAAAAAUUAAGAAAUGGUGUCUCAAGUCUGGUGGUUACUAAGGCUUCGCACUUUGUAAACUAUGCUUAUCUUUCUUUCACUAAUGCAAGCAGUUUUAGAAUAACGUGAUCCGAAUUGUAUCUUUUUCCUCGUAUAUUAGCACCUUCAUAGUCACUUAUUCGUAUUCAGGUGGUUAUUAAGGUAAGGUAAUCACAUAUUUAAGUUUCUAUGUAUAUCGUCAAGGAACUCCCUCAUUAGAUGAAAACGAAUAUAUGUAGAUUACAAUCAAAUUCAGACACCGGAUAAUUACAAAAUACAUUGUCGAUCACCUGGACUGGACCUAAUAUGGAAUUAAGAGACUUGAGUUUUCAGUUAUCAAGGUCUUCAUAAGCAAUGGGGAAAUGUAGUUAAUAGGCAUUAAUUUCUCAUAGUCCAAUUCUCCUUAUUUUUCUGUAAGUUUUGGUUCUUUAACCUUUGGCUCUGUCUGUUCUGUUGCAACUUCUUUUACUCACAUAUUAUUGUU